AGCAGCCGCGGUAAUUCCAGCUCCAAUAGCGUAUAUUAAAGUUGUUGCAGUUAAAAAGCUCGUAGUUGAAUUUCGGGGUUAGUAGAUUGGUCAUGCCUCUGGUAUGUACUGGUCUCACUGAUUCCUCCUUCCUGAUGAACCUUAAUGCCAUUAAUUUGGUGUUUUGGGGAAUUUGGACUGUUACUUUGAAAGAAUUAGAGUGUUUAAAGCAAGCUAACGCUUGAAUACAUUAGCAUUGAAUAAUGAAAUAGGACGUUCGAUCCUAUUUUGUUGGUUUCUAGGAUUGACGUAAUGAUUAAUAGGGAUAGUUGGGGGCAUUAGUAUUCAAUUGUCAGAGGUGAGAUUCUUGGAUUUAUUGAAGACUAACUACUGCGAAAGCAUUUGCCAAGGAUGUUUUCAUUAAUCAAGAACGAUAGUUAGGGGAUCGAAGACGAUCAGAUACCGUCGUAGUCUUAACCAUAAACUAUGCCGACUAGGGAUCGGAUGAUGUUAAUUUUUUAAUGACUCA
This 508-nucleotide ribosomal RNA is filed under the name uncultured glomeraceous AM fungus. RNAcentral describes it as "SSU rRNA". It matches the Rfam family "Eukaryotic small subunit ribosomal RNA", at positions 569 to 1078 of the family's 1831-position model. The record is from RNAcentral. Lineage: Eukaryota; Fungi; Glomeromycota; Glomeromycetes; Glomerales; Glomeraceae.